AGAUUGAACGCUGGCGGCAGGCCUAACACAUGCAAGUCGAGCGGUAGAGAGGUGCUUGCACCUCUUGAGAGCGGCGGACGGGUGAGUAAUGCCUAGGAAUCUGCCUAGUGGUGGGGGAUAACGUUCGGAAACGGACGCUAAUACCGCAUACGUCCUACGGGAGAAAGCGGGGGACCUUCGGGCCUCGCGCCAUUAGAUGAGCCUAGGUCGGAUUAGCUAGUUGGUGAGGUAAUGGCUCACCAAGGCGACGAUCCGUAACUGGUCUGAGAGGAUGAUCAGUCACACUGGAACUGAGACACGGUCCAGACCUCCGUACGGGAGCAGCGAGGUGGGAAUAGUUGGAACAAGUGGGACGAAAGCCUAGACUCCAGCCAGUCGCCGCGUGUGGUAGAAGUAGGUUCUUAGGUAUUAGUAAA
RNAcentral lists this ribosomal RNA (416 nucleotides) under uncultured soil bacterium. Its description in RNAcentral is "bacterial SSU rRNA". It matches the Rfam family "Bacterial small subunit ribosomal RNA", at positions 26 to 429 of the family's 1533-position model. The record is from RNAcentral.